RNAcentral lists this ribosomal RNA (869 nucleotides) under uncultured archaeon. RNAcentral describes it as "bacterial SSU rRNA". It matches the Rfam family "Archaeal small subunit ribosomal RNA", at positions 1 to 878 of the family's 1478-position model. The record is from RNAcentral.
CUCCCGGUUGAUCCUGCCGGACCCGACUGCUAUCAGAGUGGGACUAAGCCAUGCGAGUCAACAUAGCAAUAUGUGGCAUACGGCUCAGUAACACGUAGUCAACAUGCCCAGGGGACGUGGAUAACCUCGGGAAACUGAGGAUAAACCGCGAUAGGUCAUCACUUCUGGAAUGGGUAAUGACUUAAAUCUAUAUGGCCCCUGGAUUGGACUGCGGCCGAUCAGGCUGUUGGUGAGGUAAUGGCCCACCAAACCUGUAACCGGUACGGGCUCUGAGAGGAGGAGCCCGGAGAUGGGCACUGAGACAAGGGCCCAGGCCCUAUGGGGCGCAGCAGGCGCGAAACCUCUGCAAUAGGCGAAAGCUUGACAGGGUUACUCUGAGUGAUUUCCGUUAAGGAGAUCUUUUGGCACCUCUAAAAAUGGUGCAGAAUAAGGGGUGGGCAAGUCUGGUGUCAGCCGCCGCGGUAAUACCAGCACCCCGAGUGGUCGGGACGUUUAUUGGGCCUAAAGCAUCCGUAGCCGGUUCUACAAGUCUUCCGUUAAAUCCACCUGCUUAACAGAUGGGCUGCGGAAGAUACUAUAGAGCUAGGAGGCGGGAGAAGCAAGCGGUACUCGAUGGGUAGGGGUAAAAUCCGUUGAUCCAUUGAAGACCACCAGUGGCGAAGGCGGCUUGCCAGAACGCGCUCGACGGUGAGGGAUGAAAGCUGGGGGAGCAAACCGGAUUAGAUACCCGGGUAGUCCCAGCUGUAAACGAUGCAGACUCGGUGAUGAGUUGGCUUAUUGCUAACUCAGUGCCGCAGGGAAGCCGUUAAGUUUGCCGCCUGGGGAGUACGGUCGCAAGACUGAAACUUAAAGGAAUUGGCGGGGGAGCA